GAUGAACGCUGGCGGCGUGCCUAAUACAUGCAAGUCGAGCGAACAGACGAGGAGCUUGCUCCUCUGAUGUUAGCGGCGGACGGGUGAGUAACACGUGGAUAACCUACCUAUAAGACUGGGAUAACUUCGGGAAACCGGAGCUAAUACCGGAUAACAUGUUGAACCGCAUGGUUCAACAGUGAAAGACGGUCUUGCUGUCACUUAUAGAUGGAUCCGCGCCGCAUUAGCUAGUUGGUAAGGUAAUGGCUUACCAAGGCAACGAUGCGUAGCCGACCUGAGAGGGUGAUCGGCCACACUGGAACUGAGACACGGUCCAGACUCCUACGGGAGGCAGCAGUAGGGAAUCUUCCGCAAUGGGCGAAAGCCUGACGGAGCAACGCCGCGUGAGUGAAGAAGGUCUUCGGAUCGUAAAACUCUGUUAUUAGGGAAGAACAAAUGUGUAAGUAACUAUGCACGUCUUGACGGUACCUAAUCAGAAAGCCACGGCUAACUACGUG
Molecule: ribosomal RNA, 497 nt
Filed under: uncultured bacterium
Lineage: Bacteria
Description: partial 16S ribosomal RNA
Rfam family: Bacterial small subunit ribosomal RNA
Source: RNAcentral